This 499-nucleotide ribosomal RNA is filed under the name uncultured Glomeromycotina. RNAcentral's name for it is "partial small subunit ribosomal RNA". It matches the Rfam family "Eukaryotic small subunit ribosomal RNA", at positions 591 to 1092 of the family's 1831-position model. The record is from RNAcentral. Lineage: Eukaryota; Fungi; Glomeromycota.
CCAAUAGCGUAUAUUAAAGUUGCUGCAGUUAAAAAGCUCGUAGUUGAAUUUCGGGACCAAUAUGUCGGUCGUGCCUCGGUACGUACUGGCAUCGUUGGUCUCUCCUUUCUGAAGAACCAUGAUGUCAUUUAUUUGGUGUCGUGGGAAAUCAGGACUGUUACUUUGAAAAAAUUAGAGUGUUUAAAGCAGGCUCACGCUUGAAUACAUUAGCAUGGAAUAAUGAAAUAGGACGUUUGAUUCUAUUUUGUUGGUUUCUAGGAUUGACGUAAUGAUUAAUAGGGAUAGUUGGGGGCAUUAGUAUUCAAUUGUCAGAGGUGAAAUUCUUGGAUUUAUUGAAGACUAACUACUGCGAAAGCAUUUGCCAAGGAUGUUUUCAUUAAUCAAGAACGAAAGUUAGGGGAUCGAAGACGAUCAGAUACCGUCGUAGUCUUAACCAUAAACUAUGCCGACUAGGGAUCGGAUGAUGUUAAUUUUUUAAUGACUCAUUCGGCGCCUUACG